AAGAAGCCUCUAGUGCUUGAACCAACAGUCACUAACAUAGCUGGUGUUGGAGGUAUGGCUCGAAAAGGAAGGGUGAUCCCGAGCAACUACUAAAGAAGAAUAUUCUGGAAAAUUCAAAAGGAAAAGAAGUUGUAGGCUCAGGGGAAGGACCUUCCAAGAAGGGUUUGCCCCAAGAAGAAGCUGAAGAAUUCUCGAGGUUAAUAAGAAAGAGUGAUU
Molecule: long non-coding RNA, 216 nt
Filed under: Lathyrus oleraceus (garden pea)
Lineage: Eukaryota; Viridiplantae; Streptophyta; Magnoliopsida; Fabales; Fabaceae
Description: Pisum sativum (pea) long non-coding RNA (PSAT_LNC029817)
Source: RNAcentral